This is a non-coding RNA of Nelumbo nucifera (sacred lotus), 501 nucleotides long. NCBI's taxonomy places the organism in Eukaryota, Viridiplantae, Streptophyta, Magnoliopsida, Proteales, Nelumbonaceae. The record is from RefSeq and is a predicted model, not a curated record.
AUUCAACUAAUUGUAAUGACAAUUUUAGGACAUCCUCUGUUGAAGCGAAUUCCCGCGUUUGGAGUACUACAAUGUGAUGAACACUCAAGAGCCGGUAAUGUCCAACCCACUUACGCUUUAAGUAUUACAGUUAGUUAAGCUGGCGAAUGAACCAUCGGAGUCUUUGAAAAGUGAAACGAGAAAUAGGUUGCGAUGAAAAUAAUCCUAGGUUGAAGUUGGUUGAGCAUUGCCCAUCAUUGCUGGUAUUAGCUUUUAGAGUACUAUCGCCUUCUUCCCUUGUUCUGUUAAUUAGUGGGUUGAAUUUUCAUUAAGGAGAUUUGUUGAAUCAAUGUGAAAUAUGAAGUGGAAUAUUUUACUACAGGUGUAACUUUUGUGUGUGUGGAUCUUCAUUAGGAAAAUUGAUUGAGCAGGAGCCAUGCAUUGUCAAGCUCUUUAUUAAGUUCCUGCUAGUGCUUAUUGAUGUGAAAUAUGGUUGUGAAUGCAUCAUUUUCCUGUUGUUUU